GACGAACGCUGGCGGCGUGCUUAACACAUGCAAGUCGAACGCUGAAGCUCAGCUUUUGUUGGGUGGAUGAGUGGCGAACGGGUGAGUAACACGUGAGUAACCUGCCCCCUUCUUUGGGAUAACGCCCGGAAACGGGUGCUAAUACUGGAUAUUCACUGGUCUUCGCAUGGGGGUUGGUGGAAAGGGUUUUUCUGGUGGGGGAUGGGCUCGCGGCCUAUCAGCUUGUUGGUGGGGUGAUGGCCUACCGAGGCUUUGACGGGUAGCCGGCCUGAGAGGGUGACCGGUCACAUUGGGACUGAGAUACGGCCCAGACUCCUACGGGAGGCAGCAGUGGGGAAUAUUGCACAAUGGGCGCAAGCCUGAUGCAGCGACGCAGCGUGAGGGAUGGAGGCCUUCGGGUUGUGAACCUCUUUCGCUCAUGGUCAAGCCGCAACAAUGGUUGUGGUGAGGGUAGUGGGUAAAGAAGCGCCGGCUAACUACGUG
Molecule: ribosomal RNA, 483 nt
Filed under: uncultured bacterium
Lineage: Bacteria
Description: partial 16S ribosomal RNA
Rfam family: Bacterial small subunit ribosomal RNA
Source: RNAcentral